GAGGGUAACAGCUCAGUGGCAGAGCACAUGCUUUGCAUGCACGAGGUCUUGGGUUCAAUCCCUAGUACCUCCA
This 73-nucleotide transfer RNA is filed under the name Camelus bactrianus (Bactrian camel). It matches the Rfam family "tRNA". From Rfam's summary of the family: Transfer RNA (tRNA) molecules are approximately 80 nucleotides in length. Their secondary structure includes four short double-helical elements and three loops (D, anti-codon, and T loops). Further hydrogen bonds mediate the characteristic L-shaped molecular structure. tRNAs have two regions of fundamental functional importance: the anti-codon, which is responsible for specific mRNA codon recognition, and the 3' end, to which the tRNAs corresponding amino acid is attached (by aminoacyl-tRNA synthetases). tRNAs cope with the degeneracy of the genetic code in two manners: having more than one tRNA (with a specific anti-codon) for a particular amino acid; and 'wobble' base-pairing, i.e. permitting non-standard base-pairing at the 3rd anti-codon position. RNAcentral also lists the same sequence under 2 other names. Lineage: Eukaryota; Metazoa; Chordata; Mammalia; Artiodactyla; Camelidae. The record is from Rfam by way of RNAcentral.